RNAcentral lists this ribosomal RNA (504 nucleotides) under uncultured bacterium. RNAcentral describes it as "bacterial SSU rRNA". It matches the Rfam family "Bacterial small subunit ribosomal RNA", at positions 47 to 507 of the family's 1533-position model. The record is from RNAcentral.
CCUAAUACAUGCAAGUCGAACGCAUUGUGGUUGAAAUGAUAUGAAGAACUUGUUCAGAUUUGAUUUCAACAUUGCAAUGAGUGGCGAACGGGUGAGUAACACGUGGGAAACCUACCUCUUAGCAGGGGAUAACAUUGGAAACAAAUGCUAAUACCGUAUAAUAAUUAAAACCGCAUGGUUUUAGUUUAAAAGAUGGUCUUGCUAUCACUAAGAGAUGGUCCCGCGGUGUAUUAGUUAGUUGGUGAGGUAAUGGCUCACCAAGACAAUGAUACAUAGCCGAGUUGAGAGACUGACCGGCCACAAUGGGACUGAGACACGGCCCAUACUCCUACGGGAGGCAGCAGUAGGGAAUCUUCCACAAUGGACGAAAGUCUGAUGGAGCAACGCCGCGUGUGUGAUGAAGGGUUUCGGCUCGUAAAACACUGUUGUAAGAGAAGAAUGACAUUGAGAGUAACUGUUCAAUGUGUGACGGUAUCUUACCAGAAAGGAACGGCUAAAUACGUG